AGGCUCCCGAGUCCCGAGCAAGGGUUAUCUCAAAAGAAAAAAAAGUCCCAAGCGAGGGUUAGGUCUCCUGCCCGCGUGCACGCCGCCACCAUGCUUUCGCUCGAAAUCCCUGGUAUUCUCAUGGCUCACCCCUGACCCCGGCUCUGGUUUUCCUCAUACCAGCCGCCGGCGACCGGACUCGCUUCCUUCCUCCGACCUGUGGAUCGGCUCCACCGUCCCCAGAAUCCCCACUCCCUUCGCUGACUCCUGCUCCAACACUGAUGCGCUGACGCCGCCGCCUCCUGGUCGGCAUGCACGGCCGCACGCCCAGCAGUUACCGUGGCCGAUGAUGGAACAGCCCCGAGACCCUCCUUGUGUUGCAGUGCUUGGAGAAGAGGCAAGGCGCCCAGGGAGUCCUGAGAAGACGCCCUCGCCGCCGACCUUGAGGUGCAGGUCUGUCUCCAUGAGCUCGAGGAAGCCAUGGCCGAUGCAUCCAGCUGCGGAUGCCGCAUCUUUGUGGCCGCCACCCUCCCUCACCGCCCUACACAACCGGCUCCUCGGUCACCUCGUCGCCGCCGGCGGCCUUCAGUUUUGUGAACUCCAUUUGCAGAGGUAGCUUAAGUGCAAUUUCAUUUCAGGGAGAGUUGGCACAUAUUUCUCCUUUUAGGCUGAUACUUCAGACUUCAGUACACAUCAAUAUGUACUGAAGUACAACUUCAGGUUUUAGUUACGGUUUAUGCACAUUGCCAUGUUCUAAACUUGUGAUCCAUGGAGACAUAGCAUGUUUUGUACAAAAAUAAAUCAUCGUAAUCUAAUCUCAUGCAACUUUAUGUACUAUUCUUUGUUGUACUGAGAAGCUGCAAAGCCCAAGCCUCGUGUAAAUAUAAGAGGGCAUCUCAGAAGAUAUGGGGUGAAUGAUCUACAUAAUUUUUGGGAUGCAGUAAAUCUAAAUCUUACCUCUCCCUUAGCCAUUUGCGAUCUGGCACCCCCCCCCCCCCCCCCUUGCAUAGAUAAGUACAUGGUGUUUACCAUAAUUUACAUUUGUCUUUAUAGUACUCCUCCUAAAUGUUUAUUGUUGAGUGUCUCAUUUCCAGCAUAUUAGUAGAGGAGCAUGCAAGUUUGGAUAGCUAAGUUUGUUGAUGGGAUUCAUUGUGCUGGUUAAAGUCAUAAUAUAUCAGCAGGUAUGGCAUGGGAUUCAUUGUCCUGGUAAGAUGAGAAUAGAUCAUUGUAUACAUUUCACCGUAUUGGAUUAUUUUGUGCCGAAUUCUUUAGUCAGGUACCUUCUUUCUCUUAAGCCAUCUUCAUCUACGUGUUUUAUAUAUUUACAACUUCCAAUUUAAUAGUAGAGAUUUAAUCUCAAUACUUGCUUGCAUGGUGUAAGAAUGUUGAAGUAUGUUUUAUUUUGGCUCCUACCUGUAGUCUACAACUGGGUGUUCCAAGAAUUUGUUUUUCGCAUGGUCUUCUUUGCUACCUCUUCAUGGGCGAUCCUCAUUAUUUGUUCCUUGAUUCUCUAUGCAAGAAUCUUGCCUCAUGGUCGAAAACAUAUGGUCACAUAUUUUCUCCAGGGGAUUAAUUUUAGUCAGAGCCGAUCGAUAAAUGAUCGGCCAAUUAGUAUAAUUUUCUAGCUUAAUACAUGUCAUGUAAGUAUGUUUUCCUUAAUGUGAUAGGUAAUGUAAAUUUUGUGGGUCUCUCAGUUGCUAUGAGCCUACUACAGUUAAUUGGAAAGCAUGAUUCCGAUGGAAAUGCAACAGAAACAGAACCUGAAAUAUUAGUUAAUUGGAUAGCAUGGUCCCGACGGAAAUGCAAAUGAAACAGAACCUGGAAUAAUAAUUAAAAUUGGAUAGCAUGAUUCCGAUGGAAAUGCAAAAGAAACAGAACCAAUAAUAAGAUAGAUAAGAUGUGACUGACACUGGAGUAGGGAGCACACGACGGCCGUCGUUCGCGCGGCCGACACCGACACUGGUGUAGACAGUAGGCCACUGAAGAUCGUGUUGGCGAUGUAGUAUUUCCAUGAGCAUGCAUCAAAUAUCAAAUCUCUUUACCAGUCUCUUCCGCUGUCCACAUGGCUCCCCUUUUUAUGUACCACCACCUCAACUUGGUAGGACUUGAGAUUUACUUUGGUGUCUACCCCGUGCAGGAGAUGACUUUGUCGUACCUGACGUGCGGAAAUGCGAUGGUGUCUACCUUGAAGCUUGAAGAGUUCAUGAGGAAGUCUUGCUAGCAUCUAGAGUUGGAUGCCCUCAUGAAGACUACUGUCAGUCAAUUUUCAUGACUGUUCACACCGUUGAUGUUGUGAGGACUGGCAGCUCUUCAGUUCACACCGCCAAUGUUGUGAGGAGUGGCAGGACUUCAAUGGGCAUGGAGGCUGCAACCUAGGGCGAGGGCGUGGUGCGUUGAGAUGGCGGAGCUGCGUUGGUGGGAGGCGGCGAUGGCGGCGGCAACGCCAAUGUCAACAGGGAUCUCUUAGCCGCAACAGAUCGAAGAACAACUUGGGGAUGUCGUGCAGCUCCUGCGUGUAGUAGAUAAAUUGCCGCCCAGAUAAAUCACCGGGACACUACCAAGUGUGUCGUUCAUUGGGCCAGGAUAAAAAAUCUUGAGGGUGCCUCAUGUGCGACUCUAGCUAUUGAAAGUCAAAGAACUUGACUACUUCCGGAGUUUGAUAAGGCUUUAUAGUGAGUUCUCAUACUUUUACUGCUGUUGUUAUUAAGCAGAUUUUGUCAAAGCAAUUGCUAUGUGUAUGCCAUUUUCAUGUUCUAUACGUGGCUGUUUUUCCAUGUUCUAGACAUGGAUAUGAUGAUUGGUCGAUGAAGCAAUUGAUUUCUAAUACUAGCAAUUGGGCUUCUGGAUA
Molecule: non-coding RNA, 2827 nt
Organism: Triticum urartu
Lineage: Eukaryota; Viridiplantae; Streptophyta; Magnoliopsida; Poales; Poaceae
Source: RefSeq, a predicted model, not a curated record